GCCGGGUGUGGUGGCACACGCCUGUAAUCCCAGCACUCGAGAGGCUGAGGCAGGAGGAUUGUUGUGAGUUCAAGGCCAGCCUGGGCUACAAAGUGAGUUCAAGGCCACCCUGAACUGCAUAGUGAGACCCUGCCUCAAAAAAGACAAAAAAGGGAGACAGGGUCUCGCUAUGUAGUCCAGGGUGUCCUCGAACUCACUGUGUCAUCCAGGCUGGCCUCAAACUCAUGGCGAUCCUCCUGCCUCA
RNAcentral lists this small RNA (244 nucleotides) under Chinchilla lanigera (long-tailed chinchilla). RNAcentral's name for it is "Metazoan signal recognition particle RNA (ENSCLAG00000021704.1)". Lineage: Eukaryota; Metazoa; Chordata; Mammalia; Rodentia; Chinchillidae. The record is from RNAcentral.